This 440-nucleotide ribosomal RNA is filed under the name uncultured bacterium. Its description in RNAcentral is "partial 16S ribosomal RNA". It matches the Rfam family "Bacterial small subunit ribosomal RNA", at positions 338 to 795 of the family's 1533-position model. The record is from RNAcentral.
CCUACGGGAGGCAGCAGUGGGGGAUAUUGCACAAUGGGGGAAACCCUGAUGCAGCGACGCCGCGUGGGUGAAGAAGCGCCUCGGCGCGUAAAGCCCUGCCAGCAGGGAAGAAAAUGACGGUACCUGAAGAAGAAGCCCCGGCUAACUACGUGCCAGCAGCCGCGGUAAUACGUAGGGGGCAAGCGUUAUCCGGAUUUACUGGGUGUAAAGGGGGCGCAGACGGCGAUGCAAGCCAGGAGUGAAAGCCCGGGGCCCAACCCCGGGACUGCUCGUGGAACUGCGUGGCUAGAGUGCAGGAGGGGCAGGCGGAAUUCCUGGUGUAGCGGUGAAAUGCGUAGAUAUCAGGAGGAACACCGGUGGCGAAGGCGGCCUGCUGGACUGCAACUGACGUUGAGGCCCGAAAGCGUGGGGAGCAAACAGGAUUAGAUACCCCAGUAGUC